Molecule: ribosomal RNA, 135 nt
Filed under: uncultured bacterium
Lineage: Bacteria
Description: partial 16S ribosomal RNA
Rfam family: Bacterial small subunit ribosomal RNA
Source: RNAcentral
GGGGAAUAUUGCACAAUGGGGGAAAACCUGGAUGCAGCGACGCCGCGUGAGUGAAGAAGUAUUUCGGUAUGUAAAGCUCUAUCAGCAGGGGAAGAAAAUGACGGUACCUGACUAAAGAAGCCCCGGGCUAACUAC